Molecule: long non-coding RNA, 329 nt
Organism: Neodiprion fabricii
Lineage: Eukaryota; Metazoa; Arthropoda; Insecta; Hymenoptera; Diprionidae
Exons: 3
Source: RefSeq, a predicted model, not a curated record
AGGAGGACGAGGAUUAGUGCUCGGUAUAACCCGAGGUAGUUCGCGGUGGUUCCGGGUGAUCGAGGUGAGCGAGGAAGAGGACAAGGAUGACCAGGACUUGUACACUUUCUGUGCCCCACCUAGUGAUCCACCAGUACAUAUCCUCCGACGUGACAUCGCUGUACUACGUAUAAAGAAGAAAAGAUUUAUUAAGAUGCAAAUUGCUCCUCUCUUCUUGCCAUUGUGUUUUCAGCCAUUGUUGUGCUGUGUGUUUAAGAUUUAGGACAGUAUAUAAUAUAGAAUAACAGGUACAGCUACGAAUAUAGCACUACAAUAAAUCUUAUAGAAAU